UACGAAGGGGGCUAGCGUUGUUCGGAAUUACUGGGCGUAAAGCGCACGUAGGCGGAUCGAUAAGUAAGAGGUGAAAUCCCAGAGCUCAACUCUGGAACUGCCUUUUAAACUGUCGAUCUGGAGCAGAGUAGAGGUGAGUGGAAUUCCGAGUGUAGAGGUGAAAUUCGUAGAUAUUCGGAGGAACACCAGUGGCGAAGGCGGCUCACUGGACUCUUGCUGACGCUGAGGUGCGAAAGCGUGGGGAGCAAAC
RNAcentral lists this ribosomal RNA (250 nucleotides) under uncultured bacterium. RNAcentral's name for it is "partial 16S ribosomal RNA". It matches the Rfam family "Bacterial small subunit ribosomal RNA", at positions 524 to 773 of the family's 1533-position model. The record is from RNAcentral.